This 29-nucleotide small RNA is filed under the name Bombyx mori (domestic silkworm). RNAcentral's name for it is "ovarian small RNA-28341". Lineage: Eukaryota; Metazoa; Arthropoda; Insecta; Lepidoptera; Bombycidae. The record is from RNAcentral.
UCGACUCCACCGAUGUCGCCGGUGACACG